GGGAUCCAGGGCAGAGCCAGCAGAAGGGUGGUGGUGGUGGUGAUGGUGGCGGUGGUGCAUGUGGGCAUGGGGGUGGUGCCGCAUGUACACGUCAUGCAUGUGGCUGUAGGAUGGGCUCACCUGAGAUGCCAAAGGAGGUAAGCUGAUACCAGCUUAUGCAGUCACGGCCUAUGCUGAGGUUUGACAGCAUGAGACUGAAAAGCUUCAUUUCCUCCAGGGCACCUUGCUGCCACCAGGUCUGAGCCCAGGUCACAGGGCUCUACACUAAAGCACCUACCUAGAUCUUUUCAUUAAAAGAAGAAUAUCCUAAGAAGUACUCUAAAACAAAAGUGUUCACAAGUCUGACAUAUCCAUGUUCUCACUUCAUAAAUGUCCAGGACAUCGUUUUCUUACCUCAGAGGAAAGCUCAUGUAACUUGAACCAACCACAGUAUAUGUAAGUUGGCUAACAUAAUAAUCAGGAUAUCAACAUGCUGUUCAAAUGUUUCCUUUCUCUAACUCCCCAAAGGACUGUGCCCCUAGACUGCAAACUUCAGUUUUCUCCCCUCAGCCCUACAGCAGCGCUACCAUCAUUCACCCUGUCGGUUCAUGGACAGACAGCUCUUUGUCGUCUCACAUUCAAGUCUGUGCCCACAGAAUCUCCAGGGAUCUCAAAACCCUUGGGGAAAUAAAACAAACAAUCAUACUCUCCUAACGGAAGAGGAUGGAAGCACACAUUGUUCUUCGAGUCUUCAAACAGUGCAGGCAAACUUCUAAUUGAAUGGCUCUGUUUUGCCACGAUCACAUCUAUCAGAAAACAGCACUUACAGUCAAACUUCCUGGCAUCGGGGCAAAUAUGUUUUAUUUCAGAACUGUCUUCCUUUGACAUAUGAAGAGUGGGUGCUAAUGACCAACAAAGAAAGUUGUGUAAGCUGUGAGAAAAAUUCAAUUUGCCUUAAAUGAUGGCCAUUUGUAGAAUAUUCUGUCAACACCCACAGUGCUAGCUGUCAAUAUUUAAAAUUAAAACCCACUCAAAAAGUU
Molecule: long non-coding RNA, 1019 nt
Organism: Suricata suricatta (meerkat)
Lineage: Eukaryota; Metazoa; Chordata; Mammalia; Carnivora; Herpestidae
Exons: 4
Source: RefSeq, a predicted model, not a curated record